RNAcentral lists this ribosomal RNA (450 nucleotides) under uncultured bacterium. RNAcentral describes it as "partial 16S ribosomal RNA". It matches the Rfam family "Bacterial small subunit ribosomal RNA", at positions 354 to 796 of the family's 1533-position model. The record is from RNAcentral.
GUGGGGAAUAUUGGACAAUGGGCGAAAGCCUGAUCCAGCCAUGCCGCGUGUGUGAAGAAGGUCUUCGGAUUGUAAAGCACUUUAAGUUGGGAGGAAGGGCAGUAACCUAAUACGUUGCUACUUUGACGUUACCGACAGAAUAAGCACCGGCUAACUUCGUGCCAGCAGCCGCGGUAAUACGAAGGGUGCAAGCGUUAAUCGGAAUUACUGGGCGUAAAGCGCGCGUAGGUGGUUCAGUAAGUUGGAAGUGAAAUCCCCGGGCUCAACCUGGGAACUGCUUUAAAAACUGCUGAGCUAGAGUACGGUAGAGGGUGGUGGAAUUUGCUGUGUAGCGGUGAAAUGCGUAGAUAUAGGAAGGAGCACCAGUGGCGAAGGCGACCACCUGGACUGAUACUGACACUGAGGUGCGAAAGCGUGGGGAGCAAACAGGAUUAGAUACCCCUGUAGUCC